UACGAAGGGGGCUAGCGUUGUUCGGAAUUACUGGGCGUAAAGCGCACGUAGGCGGAUUGUUAAGUCAGAGGUGAAAUCCCGGAGCUCAACUUCGGAACUGCCUUUGAUACUGGCAAUCUAGAGUCCGGAAGAGGUUAGUGGAAUUCCCAGUGUAGAGGUGAAAUGCGUAGAUAUCAGGAGGAACACCGGUGGUGUAGACGGCUUUCUGGACAAUCACUGACGCUGAGGUACGAAAGCGUGGGUAGCAAACAGG
RNAcentral lists this ribosomal RNA (253 nucleotides) under uncultured bacterium. RNAcentral describes it as "partial 16S ribosomal RNA". It matches the Rfam family "Bacterial small subunit ribosomal RNA", at positions 524 to 776 of the family's 1533-position model. The record is from RNAcentral.